GGAAGGAUCAUUAACACUUAUUAAUCCUUCUUAAUGCCUUUGUUGAACCUGUGAUUCGUCUGUCUUUCUUUUUCCAAAACCUUCUAUAUUUAAAACUUUUUUCGAAACGUUUGCUUUUUGCAAAUGUUUUCCCAAAAAAACAAAAAACAACUGCUAGCAUUGGAUGUCUUGGUUCUCGCAACGAUGAAGAACGCAGCGAAAUGCGAUAAGUAAUGUGAAUCGUAGAAUUCAGUGAAUCAUCAAAUCUUUGAACGCAUAUGGCGCUUCUGGGUACUCCCAGGAGCAUACCUGUUUGAGAAUCAUCAUUCCAUCUCAUCCCUAAUUCAUUUUAGGAAUGGCCAAUGAGCGCGUCAUUUAUUUUCAUAUAAAUGUCGCUCAAAGUAAAUCUAACGGUGCCAUUAGAACUUAAUUCUAACUGCAGCUUAAAUAAGAAUGGCUUGCUAAGGUUGAGUUUUCUCAGCCCCUUGCUAUUCACUAUUUCAGCUGCAUGGAAUUUAACGUUAUUUUGGGCUUACUGCUUAGUCUCCAAACAAAACAAAUCAAACCAUGAUCUCAAAUCAGGCAAGACUACCCGCUGAAUUUAAGCAUAUCAUUAAGCGGAGGAAAAGAAACUAACAAGGAUUCCCCUAGUAACGGCGAGUGAAGCGGGAAAAGCUCAAUCUUAAAAUCGAAGGGUUACGCUCUUCGAGUUGUAGAGUAUAGAGGCGUCUUCGGGGAGUGCGCAGGUAUAAGUCCCUUGGAAAAGGGCGUCAUAGAGGGUGACAACCCCGUUCAUGACUUGCGCAUUUUCUUCAUAUGGGGCGCUUUCGAAGAGUCGAGUUGUUUGGGAAUGCAGCUCUAAACGGGUGGUAAAUUUCAUCUAAAGCUAAAUAUUGGCGAGAGACCGAUAGCGAACAAGUACCGUGAGGGAAAGAUGAAAAGAACUUUGAAAAGAGAGUUAAAAGGGCCUGAAAUUGUUAGCAGGGAAGCGAUUAAAACUGGGCAUACGCCUUGGGAUUCGGUUUGGUUUCUGGUGGUUCCAGUGUGCUUAGCGAUCGCAAGACCUGAGCAUGUUGUGAUUCAUCAGUGCCUUUCUUAUUUUCUCAGGGUGUGGGUCAGCAUCAGUUAGGGUUUCAGGAAAUGGCCUUUGGGAAGGUAGGCAGGCCUUUCGGGGUUUGCUGUUAUAGCCUAAGGGUAGCCCUGUUACCUUGACUGAGGGAAAUCAGCUCGCGCUCUGCUUGAGGUCUAUUCUAUGGGCUGAGGUACCACUUAGGACAGCCUCGCUGUGCUUUGGGUGCUUUGGUCCAGCUGGGUAGCGCCUUUCAUACGCGUGCUCCUGAUGCUGACAUAACGGUUUUAACCGACCCGUCUUGAAACACGGACCAAGGAGUCUAACAUAUAUGCGAGUAUUUGGGUGUCAAACCCAAGUGCGGAAUGAAAGUAAAGGCGCCCUCUGGGUGCUUAGGUGCGAGCUGUUGGGCGUACCAUCAGUGCAGCAUCGACCGGUCUGGAGGUUUUCUGAAAGAUCUGAGUAAGAGCAUAUCUGUUGGGACCCGAAAGAUGGUGAACUAUGCCUGAACAGGAUGAAGCCAGAGGAAACUCUGGUGGAAGUCCGUAGCGGUUCUGACGUGCAAAUCGAUCGUCAAAUUUGGGUAUAGGGGCGAAAGACUAAUCGAACCAUCUAGUAGCUGGUUCCCUC
Molecule: unclassified non-coding RNA, 1678 nt
Filed under: uncultured fungus
Lineage: Eukaryota; Fungi
Description: sequence contains 18S rRNA gene, ITS1, 5.8S rRNA gene, ITS2, 28S rRNA gene
Rfam family: Eukaryotic large subunit ribosomal RNA (bases 548-1678)
Source: RNAcentral